GGCCGCGGGAAUUCGAUUAGAGUUUGAUCCUGGCUCAGAACGAACGCUGGCGGCAGGCUUAACACAUGCAAGUCGAACGCAUCCUUCGGGGUGAGUGGCAGACGGGUGAGUAACGCGUGGGAACGUGCCCUUCAGUUUGGGAUAACCCAGGGAAACUUGGGCUAAUACCGGAUACGCCCUUUUUGGGGAAAGAUUUAUCGCUGAAGGAUCGGCCCGCGUCUGAUUAGCUAGUUGGUGAGGUAACGGCUCACCAAGGCGACGAUCAGUAGCCGGCCUGAGAGGGCGGUCGGCCACACUGACACUGACAUACGGGUCAGACUCCUACGGGAGGCAGCAGUCGGGAAUUUUGGGCAAUGGGCGAAAGCCUGACCCAGCAACGCCGCGUGAAGGAUGAAAUCCCUCGGGAUGUAAACUUCGCAAGAAUAGGAAGAAUAGACGAGUACUAAUACUGCUCGUGAUGACGGUACUAUUUGUAAGCUCCGGCUAACUCCGUGCCAGCAGCCGCGGUAAUACGGGGGGAGCAAGCGUUGUUCGGAUUUACUGGGGCGUAAGGGCGCGUAGGCGGCCAGCACAAGUCAGUUGUGAAACCUCCGGGCGUUUCUCGGAAAGGUCCCGUGAUACUGUUAGGGCUAUAGUGCCGACGGGGGCACUGGAAUUCGCGCUCGUACCCGCCAACUGCCUAGAUAGCGAAAGGGAGGCCGGCGGGGAAGGGCGGCUGCGGGUCCUGAGUGCGGGAGAGAUGCGGGGAGGGGCCGGGGGCCCGGCUGACGUGGGCCCGCGGGGAGUCGGGCCGCGGACCGGGCGCCCUCGGGCCGCGAGGGUCC
RNAcentral lists this ribosomal RNA (824 nucleotides) under uncultured Allobosea sp. RNAcentral's name for it is "uncultured Bosea sp. partial 16S ribosomal RNA". It matches the Rfam family "Bacterial small subunit ribosomal RNA", at positions 1 to 796 of the family's 1533-position model. The record is from RNAcentral. Lineage: Bacteria; Pseudomonadati; Pseudomonadota; Alphaproteobacteria; Hyphomicrobiales; Alloboseaceae.